UUGAUGGGGAAUUUGUGUUAGAGCAA
RNAcentral lists this non-coding RNA (26 nucleotides) under Rattus norvegicus (Norway rat). Lineage: Eukaryota; Metazoa; Chordata; Mammalia; Rodentia; Muridae. The record is from RNAcentral.